CAUCUUUCCCAACAUCAGGGUCUUUUCCAGGGAGUCUUCUCUUCUCAUGAGGACUCCCUGGAAAAGACCCUGAUGUUGGGAAAGAU
Podarcis lilfordi (Lilford's wall lizard) is the source of this 86-nucleotide non-coding RNA. The record is from the annotation of a GenBank genome assembly. NCBI's taxonomy places the organism in Eukaryota, Metazoa, Chordata, Lepidosauria, Squamata, Lacertidae.